This 72-nucleotide transfer RNA is filed under the name Pseudocercospora pini-densiflorae CBS 125139. RNAcentral describes it as "tRNA-Asn (ATT) (tRNA-Asn-ATT-1-1)". It matches the Rfam family "tRNA". Rfam says of the family: Transfer RNA (tRNA) molecules are approximately 80 nucleotides in length. The record is from RNAcentral. Lineage: Eukaryota; Fungi; Ascomycota; Dothideomycetes; Mycosphaerellales; Mycosphaerellaceae.
GGUCUCUUAGCUCAAUGGCUAGAGCGGAUGACCAUUGCUCAUCAGAUCUGAGUUCGAUUCUCAGAGAGACCA